AGUCGAGCGGAAACGAUGGUAGCUUGCUACCAGGCGUCGAGCGGCGGACGGGUGAGUAACGCGUGAGAAUCUGCCCAUUUGUGGGGGAUAACUCGGGGAAACUCGAGCUAAUACCGCAUAAUCCCUACGGGGGAAAGCAGGGGACCUUCGGGCCUUGUGCAGAUGGAUGAGCUCGCGUCGGAUUAGCUUGUUGGUGAGGUAAAGGCUCACCAAGGCGACGAUCCGUAGCUGGUCUGAGAGGAUGAUCAGCCACACCGGGACUGAGACACGGCCCGGACUCCUACGGGAGGCAGCAGUGGGGAAUCUUGGACAAUGGGGGCAACCCUGAUCCAGCCAUGCCGCGUGUGUGAAGAAGGCCUUCGGGUUGUAAAGCACUUUCAGUAGGGAGGAAGGCUUACCGCUAAUAACGGUGAGUACUUGACGUUACCUACAGAAGAAGCACCGGCUAAUUUCGUGCCAGCAGCCGCGGUAAUACGAAAGGUGCGAGCGUUAAUCGGAAUUACUGGGCGUAAAGCGCGCGUAGGCGGUUUGUUAAGUCAGAUGUGAAAGCCCCGGGCUCAACCUGGGAAUUGCAUUUGAAACUGGCAGGCUAGAGUGCAGUAGAGGGAGGUGGAAUUUCCGGUGUAGCGGUGAAAUGCGUAGAGAUCGGAAGGAACACCAGUGGCGAAGGCGGCCUCCUGGACUGACACUGACGCUGAGGUGCGAAAGCGUGGGGGAGCAAACAGGAUUAGAUACCCUGGUAGUCCACGCCGUAAACGAUGUCUACUAGUCGUUGGGAAUCUUAGUAUUCUUGGUGACGAAGUUAACGCGAUAAGUAGACCGCCUGGGGAGUACGGCCGCAAGGUUAAAACUCAAAUGAAUUGACGGGGGCCCGCACAAGCGGUGAGCAUGUGUUUAAUUCGAUGCAACGCGAAGAACCUUACCAGGCCUUGACAUCCUUGGACUUUCUAGAGAUAGAUGUGCCUUCGGAGCCAAGUGACAGGUGCUGCAUGCUGUCGUCAGCUCGUGUCGUGAGAAUGUUGGUAGUCCGUACGAGCGCAACUCUUGUCCUAGUUGCAGCACUCGUGACUCUAGGGAGACUGCGUGACAUCGAGAGGUGGGACGACGUCAGUCAUCAUGCCUACGCUUGGCUAACCCGGCUAAUGCCAGUACGAGGCACGGAGUCCGGGUCAGCAAUUCCUUUUAAUCC
Molecule: ribosomal RNA, 1189 nt
Filed under: uncultured Alcanivorax sp.
Lineage: Bacteria; Pseudomonadati; Pseudomonadota; Gammaproteobacteria; Oceanospirillales; Alcanivoracaceae
Description: bacterial SSU rRNA
Rfam family: Bacterial small subunit ribosomal RNA
Source: RNAcentral